Molecule: transfer RNA, 69 nt
Filed under: Abantennarius coccineus (scarlet frogfish)
Lineage: Eukaryota; Metazoa; Chordata; Actinopteri; Lophiiformes; Antennariidae
Description: tRNA-Arg
Rfam family: tRNA
About the family: Transfer RNA (tRNA) molecules are approximately 80 nucleotides in length. Their secondary structure includes four short double-helical elements and three loops (D, anti-codon, and T loops).
Source: RNAcentral
UGAAAGUUAGUUUAAAAAAAUACUUGAUUUCGGCUCAAGAGACUCUCAGUGCAAACCCGAGACUUUCAU